This is a non-coding RNA of Acanthosepion pharaonis, 114 nucleotides long. The record is from the annotation of a GenBank genome assembly. Lineage: Eukaryota; Metazoa; Mollusca; Cephalopoda; Sepiida; Sepiidae.
UUACGGCCAUAUCACGUCGAAACGCCGGUUCUUAUACAAUCACCGAAGUUAAGCAACGUCGAGCCUGGUCAGUACCUAGAUGGGUGUCUGCUUGGGAAUACCUGGCGCUGUAAG